Molecule: ribosomal RNA, 497 nt
Filed under: uncultured bacterium
Lineage: Bacteria
Description: partial 16S ribosomal RNA
Rfam family: Bacterial small subunit ribosomal RNA
Source: RNAcentral
GAUGAACGCUGGCGGCGUGCCUAAUACAUGCAAGUCGAGCGAACAGACGAGGAGCUUGUUCCUCUGACGUUAGCGGCGGACGGGUGAGUAACACGUGGAUAACCUACCUAUAAGACUGGGAUAACUUCGGGAAACCGGAGCUAAUACCGGAUAAUAUAUUUAACCGCAUGGUUCAAUAGUGAAAGACGGUUUUGCUGUCACUUAUAGAUGGAUCCGCGCCGCAUUAGCUAGUUGGUAAGGUAACGGCUUACCAAGGCAACGAUGCGUAGCCGACCUGAGAGGGUGAUCGGCCACACUGGAACUGGGACACGGUCCAGACUCCUACGGGAGGCAGCAGUAGGGAAUCUUCCGCAAUGGGCGAAAGCUUGACGGAGCAACGCCGCGUGAGUGAUGAAGGUCUUCGGAUCGUAAAACUCUGUUAUUAGGGAAGAACAAAUGUGUAAGUAACUAUGCACGUCUUGACGGUACCUAAUCAGAAAGCCACGGCUAACUACGUG